This is a long non-coding RNA of Mustela erminea (ermine), 2197 nucleotides long. RefSeq lists it as uncharacterized. Lineage: Eukaryota; Metazoa; Chordata; Mammalia; Carnivora; Mustelidae. The record is from RefSeq and is a predicted model, not a curated record. The transcript has 5 exons.
UGAAGUAUUACACACACACACACACACACACACACACACACACACACAGAGUAAAGCAUGGGAGACAUAUAGGUCAGUUGUCUACAAAGUGGACACCCAGGUAACUACCAACCAGGUUAAGAAGUAAACCAACACUGACAUCACAGAAGCCUCAGUAUUUUCUCUCACAAUUGUUGUGUUCUCCUUCCCUUACAAAAAUAACUAUAUACUGAUAUCUUAAUACCUAAGCUUAUACCCUUCAACAUUAUAGUUUCGCCUAUUUUUUGCAAUUUAUAUUAAAUGGAGUUAUACAGUAUUUUGCUGUAUAUUAAUGACUUUUAUUUUGCCCUAUAUUAACCGCUCUAUAUUGUUUCUGAGUUCCACAUCUACUAUUGCAUAUAGCAGUUUUUCAUAUUAUUUCUUAUAGAACAUUACAUUGUUUGAAUAUACCCAACUCACCUGGUCCACUGUAGAUGGAUAUUUGGAUUGAUUCCAAUGUUUUAUCCUUACAAAUAGUGCUGCUUUGCACAUUCUUGUACAUAUUUUCUUGGUAUUUCAUACUUAAAUUUCCGUUGUUAUUUCUGGGAGUGGGAUUAUUGGUAGUUGUUUAGUUGGUAUCUCGUUGUGGUUUUAACUUUGCAUUUACUGGUUACAGAUGAAGUUGAGUACCUUUACAUGUAUUUAUUGGCUAAUUAGAUUUCCUCUUUUGUGUACUGUCCAGUCACAUCUCUUGCCCAUUUUUCUGUGUUUUUGGAGUGUUUAUGAAUCCUUGUCAGUUCUGUGUUGCAGAUAUCUUUCACACUCUAUUUUGAUUUGUCUGUCAUUCUCUUAAUGUUGUCGUUUUGACAAUCAAUCUUAAUUUUAACAUGUUCAAGUUUUUUAUUUUCCUUUAUGAUUAUUGAUUUUUGUGCAGUGCCCCAAGGCAAUGAAGAUAUUAUCCUAUGUUAAUUUCUAGAAGUUUUAACAUUGUUUUGCUUUCUACAUUUAGUUCUAUAAUUCACUUGGAAUUAUUUUUUGGUUAUUAGAUUGAGAUAGCCUUUAAGCAUUUUGUGGGCUUUUUUUUUCUUGUGGCUAUCUAAUUGUCCACUGAGACAGUCCUUUUCCUCUACUUUUCUGCAGUACCAGCUUUGUUGUAAAUUAAAUGUCUCUCUUUCUAUGGUUCUAUUUCUGGACUUUUAUUCUGAACCAUUGGUUUAUUUGUCUGCCUUUGCACCAAUAACUCACUGUUUUAUUCAUCAUUACCUUGUUCUUCAAAAAUGUUUUGGCAAUUCUUGAUUUUUUUCAUUUUUAUAUAAAUUUUAGGGCCAGCUUGUGACAUUCAAAACAACAUCAAACUACUGGAGGGUCUCAAUUUUGCUGAGGUUGGAGAAGAUUAGGAAGAGCAUCAUACAAGAAAAAACUGUAUGAUCUACAAAAUCAUAAUUUUUCUUAAACCCACCAGAGAUCCUAACAGCCAAGUCAUCUGAAAUGUAUGAAAAGACAGAUCCCUUCAAGGAGCAACAGGAUGCAGGUAUACCUUUGGCAAAACACAGAAGAAAAAGAUGACAAACUCCCUGUAAUAGCAGGUGGAAGAAACAGGUUUAGAAAGUUUAAUAAACUUACCUGUGUGAGACUAUAAAAGGAAAAUGUACCCAAAGAAACUCGGGAAUCAUGAUAAGCUUUUAUUAGCUGAAACAGUCCACAGUAUUAAGUGGAUAUCAACUGAUGAACUCCCAGUUUCUGCUGUUCCGUGAAGUCACACACCAGCAAAAGGAGGCCAGAACAAGGGACCCAGGGUGGACAGCCAGUCCUUCAGUUCCCUCCAGUUGCAGCCUCCUCACCUUACUGUCUACUGUGCCAGCCUAUACUUCACAAUUCUACAGCUCCAUCUCCAAAAUGUUGAGACCACCAUGGCCUUGAUUGGAGUUGAAUUGAUGCUGCCUACUGUUUGCCUCCAGGGUCCCAGAGCUUUCUACUGCUGCUCAGUACUUUCCGACUUUAAGGAAUCAUCAGAGUGGUAGAGUAUAUGUGUGGUAGCCAACAGUGAUGGAAAUGGUUUUCAAGGUGUGGGACAGCAAAAAUCCUGUGCCCUGGUAAUGUAGUCAACUUGAAAGUGUUCCCACUGCCAAAUCCAUGAGGGACCCCUGGCCACACUGGGAUGCCUGGAGCAGUUCGUCCUGGCAGUAACAACCUUCAUCCCAUGUUUGGUAUCAUGGGAGAGCUGAGUUCUGGAUUUCAG